UACGUAGGGUGCAAGCGUUGUCCGGAAUUAUUGGGCGUAAAGAGCUCGUAGGCGGUCUGUCGCGUCGGAUGUGAAAAUCAGGGCUCAACCCUGGACCUGCAUUCGAUACGGGCAGACUAGAGUUCGGUAGGGGAGACUGGAAUUCCUGGUGUAGCGGUGAAAUGCGCAGAUAUCAGGAGGAACACCGGUGGCGAAGGCGGGUCUCUGGGCCGAAACUGACGCUGAGGAGCGAAAGCGUGGGGAGCAAACAGG
Molecule: ribosomal RNA, 252 nt
Filed under: uncultured bacterium
Lineage: Bacteria
Description: partial 16S ribosomal RNA
Rfam family: Bacterial small subunit ribosomal RNA
Source: RNAcentral